CAAAUUAGAGCUUGUAAAAGCAUUUCAUUUACAUUGAAAAGAAAUUAAAAUUUAGUUAAUUUGA
Molecule: transfer RNA, 64 nt
Filed under: Paroeneis palaearcticus
Lineage: Eukaryota; Metazoa; Arthropoda; Insecta; Lepidoptera; Nymphalidae
Description: tRNA-Val
Source: RNAcentral